Long non-coding RNA from Salvia miltiorrhiza (redroot sage), 2367 nucleotides. RefSeq lists it as uncharacterized. NCBI's taxonomy places the organism in Eukaryota, Viridiplantae, Streptophyta, Magnoliopsida, Lamiales, Lamiaceae. The transcript is spliced from 4 exons. The record is from RefSeq and is a predicted model, not a curated record.
AUAAACAAAUAAAUACAAAUAAAAUAGAUAAAACGCGAAAUUUGAAAAAUUAAACCGAGAGAGCCGCACUGUACAAUGCGCGCUCUGAUGAAGUUUCGUUUGCAGCGCGAGAUCUCGCUAAGCAUUUAAUCACAACGGCUAGAAAUUGUUUGCUAAGUGGUGGUGGUGCAAGUUGGCCACCUUUUGCCUUUUGGCACGAGAAAACAUCUGAUGGUGAUCAAUCCAUAUCUAAUGCCAAACAUGUGUUUAUCACCAAUCUUUUCAAGAUCUAUCUAUAUCCCACAAGAUCUCUCUUCCACCAUGUUUCUGCUUGUCAUUUCAGGGGCUCGCGAAUCUGUUUGCAUGGCAACAGGCCGCAUCACUUGCUUUCUUUGCGUCUUUGUCUUGUAUCAAUAAGGGGUGCAAAUGAGUCGAGCAGAGACGACAAAAACCAGAUUGGUUUAGGGCUGUGCGUGCGGAGGCGGAAUGAUAAAUCAUUAUCUCAAACACGUUUUGAAUUUCAGGAGUUGAUAUUUAGAUUUUGUGUAACAUGACUGAUUGAUUUGAGUGUGUUCCUUGUGCAGGUAGCGAUGAUAAAUGGACUUGGGCAGCAACACCAGAUGGUAGAUUCUCUACAAAGUCGGCGUAUGCAACGAUCAAAGCACGUUGCCAGGAGAAUCCAAGGGCGAAUUUUGAAGCGAAGCUCCUCAAUUCGGUUUGGAAGGCAAAGACUCCUGAAACCUAUUUUGACAGCUUGGAGGUUGCUGGAAAAUCGUCUCCCUACAUGUGAUAAUUUGUGAAAAAGGAAGGUGCCGUUGAGCGAAGAAGAGGUCAAGUGUAGUGAAUGUGGAAUGCAAGAAGAAACGGCAAAUCAUGUGUUCCUUUCAUGCCCAAAAACGAAGAAAGUGUGGAACGAAAUGCAAAAGUGGCCGAGAGUCGCAACGGCACAGCCAAACGAGAUCGAAAGACAUCUAGGUACGUUUGCUUCCUUCAAGAAUGAAAAGAAGAUAAGAAAGUUCCUCUUGGCUACUUGGGUGUGCUACAUUUGGCUUUUGUAGAAGAAGAGGAAUGAGAAAAGUUUCAAUAAUGAGUGGGAGUCCAAAAAACUUGCUAUGGAGAUCAAGAUUAGGAUGUGGAGUUGGAAUAGGAUUUUUGGGAUUGUUGAUGAGGAGAUUGAUUUGAACUCCUGGUGUGAUUAUGAUAUUCUUUGUAAACUGAUGUAAGGCUAUUGUUCGGUACCUCUGGUACCAUUUUUCUCCUUAAUAUAGUUCUCUUUUUCGAUCAAAAAAAAAAAAUCUUUGAUCUCAUAUCAAAUUUGGAGCAUAAUGAUGAUUAUGAAAUAAGUUCUAUAGCAAGUAAGAUGAGGUUUAAGCUUGGCAAAUAUUGACUUGAGGAAGAAGCUUUGAACCUAAGGAUGAAAGAGAUUAUUUCCAUUGCUUGUGACGCCCAGGACAGAAGUAUUGACUGGCUCCUAUUAAGGCUUUGAAGCGGAGGGUAACAUGAAUGAAGCGAAACACACCAAAAAUAGAGGGAUUCCAAGAAUAUGCAGGUAUGACUGCAUAUUCAAUGAGAGCUUAAAUGAUUUGAUUUGUAAUACUCAAACUAACAAUAUGCAUCUUUUUUUCCGAUGACCACGUUGAAGAAACUCCAAGGUUAAACGUGCUUGUCUUGGAGCAAUUUCAUGAUGGGUGGCCAUUGGAAAGUUUCUUAAGGAUCAUGCAAGUGAGAACAAAAUACGCUAGAAAAGACUUGUGUUGUGAGGACAACCGUCAAGUCUGGAGCCGGAUCGCUACAUUGUUGCUGCAUUAGAUCCAAGGCGAAAGAUGAAGCAUGUGAGAAAUGCUUGUAAUCAGUUUAUGGACCUGAAAGAGGAUCCCCUUUAACUAGUGAGGCUACAGACUCAAUGAAUGAGAUGUUUGAGUUUUAUAUGGGUUUGUAUUCGGUGAAUUUGUCUCCACCUCAAGCACCUAGUACCUCCACUAUAGCUCCAUCUCAAGGGCGUAGAGAUCGUUGAGCCUGUCUGGCUUUGGAGAGUGACGAAGAACCUGAUCAAUCUAUUAAAAACAAGCUUACACCCUAUCUCACUGAGAAAAAACACAAAUUGACAAAUGAUAAAGUUGAUAAGUUAGAUAUUAUGUAGUGGUGGUCAAAGAAUAGUCCACGGUAUCCCAUUCUAUCUGAGAUGGCAAAGGAUAUAUUGGCCAUACCCACUUCUAGUGUCGCUUCUGAGUUCACAUGAGGUCGUGUUCUCUCCCCGUAUAGGAGCUCAUCCAGUAUGGUUGAGGCUUUAAUUUGUGUUGAGGACUAGUUCUAUUAACAAAAAAGAUGAAGGUGUGCCUUAUGAAGAGUUAGAAAGGGAAUUUCAAAUAGGUAAGUACAUUUCAGUGU